AUUUGACGUCGUAUUUUUGAGUUCCCAGUUGUUUUGAACGUGUCAUUAGUAGUAGUAGUGGGUAGGCUUUAUGUAUUCAUGCAUAUAUGUUGUGUGGUCAAUGUAAACGGGGGGAGAUGUCAGUGUCUGAAGGAGGGCCACUGUUGUGCAUUGCAGACUUCUUUCUUGAAGUGCAAGAGAUCUGUGGUGAGAUCAUCAGUGACAGCAAUGACAUUAAUUCAACACUUAAUCCUUAUGUAUCGAACUGACUAGUUUCUGAUCUACCUCGAUUUUUUACUUAACACUUAUUUUUCUUAAAACUGUAUUGUUGGUUAAGGGCUUGUAAGUAAGCAUUUCACCAUAAGGUCUACAGCUGUUGUAUUCGGCGCAUGUGACAAAUACGAUUUCAUUUGAGAUAACAGGUCUAGAUUCCGGGGCAGGAAAGGCUAUUAAUGGACCAACGUUGGAAAUCUCUGGAACAAUGACAGCACUGAAAUUAUUAAUUGUAAAUAGUAGCUUAACUAACUUAAAAGGGUCAGUAUGGGGAUUGUAAUUUAUUAUGCUAACUUCACCUGAGAACGUGAUUGAGGUUGUUCUGUAGAGAAGAUAGUCACUGGUGUAAAGUACUUAAGUAAAAAUACUUUAAAAUACUACUUGUUGUUUUUUGGGGGUAUCUGUACUUUACUUUUGAUAUUUUUGGCAACUUUUACUCUGCUACAUUCCUAAUGAAAAGAAUAUACUUUUUACACCAUACAUUUUCCCUGACACCCAAAGUACUUGUUACAUUUUGACAGGAAAAUUGUCAAAUUCACACUUAUCAAGAGAACAUCCCUACUGCCUCUGAUCUGGUGGACUCACUAAACA
Oncorhynchus tshawytscha (Chinook salmon) is the source of this 843-nucleotide long non-coding RNA. NCBI's taxonomy places the organism in Eukaryota, Metazoa, Chordata, Actinopteri, Salmoniformes, Salmonidae. The record is from Ensembl.